Long non-coding RNA from Mauremys mutica (yellowpond turtle), 704 nucleotides. RefSeq lists it as uncharacterized. The transcript is spliced from 3 exons. The record is from RefSeq and is a predicted model, not a curated record. NCBI's taxonomy places the organism in Eukaryota, Metazoa, Chordata, Testudines, Geoemydidae.
AGCACUUGAGCUUUUUCAUUGUGCUUGUUUUAAAAAUCACAACAAUCACAUUCUUUGUGGUAUCCAAGUAAACAUUUCCUCGAGUGCGUAUGUUUCUGCCUCUGAACACGUGAACUGCAACCCCGCACCAGGUGUCAAGACACCUAAGCCCCAGAGCAAUUCAUGAACCAGGGGAAGAUAGACAGAGGAAAGGCUCUCGUUCCUGUGGGGCCCGAUUUGGCCAUAUGUAUAAGGGAGGACACGAAAAUGUUGGUGCAGAAAAAGUUCAGCUGCUAAUGCUAACUGUGUGAAGAGGCAGUGAAGUGGGAACUUGCGGAAUCGAAGCAUCCCGUGCAAGCUUCCAAUUACACCAGCGGCAGCCAUACAGAAUGCAAGACAGCAAUGUUUGACCCCAAAGCGUUAUUUAAAUUAGAAACCUUGCACCAAGAUUGGAAAGCAACAACCCUGUUCCUGCGUUUUUAAUAACACAUUUCAUUACUGUUGCCCAUCGCUUAGGACACAUUUGAAUGCUUGAAAUUAACAUUGUUUUCACUAUCGAUUUACCCUUUUCUUUCUGUCAACUAUUUAUGUACUUAGGGUACAACAACAGUGCAGCUGGGAAAGGCAAUUCCCAGAUCAGUUAGACAUACACAUACUAGGUCUGCUGCCACCGUGCUAAAUUUACAUGGAGCUCAAGAGUCUUAUACCGUUCUACUUACUAGGCU